RNAcentral lists this ribosomal RNA (253 nucleotides) under uncultured bacterium. RNAcentral's name for it is "partial 16S ribosomal RNA". It matches the Rfam family "Bacterial small subunit ribosomal RNA", at positions 524 to 776 of the family's 1533-position model. The record is from RNAcentral.
UACAGAGGGUGCGAGCGUUAAUCGGAGUGACUGGGCGUAAAGGGCGCGUAGGCGGUUGUAUAAGCUGGAUGUGAAAUCCCUGGGCUUAACCUAGGAAUGGCAUCCAAGACUGUAGAACUGGAGUACUGUAGAGGGUAGUGGAAUUUCCGGUGUAGCGGUGAAAUGCGUAGAGAUCGGAAGGAACACCAGUGGCGAAGGCGGCUACCUGGACAGAUACUGACGCUGAGGCGCGAGAGCGUGGGGAGCAAACAGG